Molecule: ribosomal RNA, 252 nt
Filed under: uncultured bacterium
Lineage: Bacteria
Description: partial 16S ribosomal RNA
Rfam family: Bacterial small subunit ribosomal RNA
Source: RNAcentral
AGCAAAGCCGCGAGGUGGAGCGAAUCUCCAAAAAUUGUCCCAGUUCAGAUUGCAGGCUGCAACUCGCCUGCAUGAAGUCGGAAUUGCUAGUAAUCGUGGAUCAGCAUGCCACGGUGAAUACGUUCCCGGGCCUUGUACACACCGCCCGUCACACCAUGGGAGUCGGUAACACCCGAAGCCUGUAGUCUAACCGCAAGGAGGACGCAGUCGAAGGUGGGAUUGGUGACUGGGGUGAAGUCGUAACAAGGUAAC